This 1131-nucleotide long non-coding RNA is filed under the name Olea europaea subsp. europaea. Lineage: Eukaryota; Viridiplantae; Streptophyta; Magnoliopsida; Lamiales; Oleaceae. The record is from RNAcentral.
AUUUUCCCCCUAAAUUGUCGAAACCCUACACGUGAUGGACUCCAUCGUCUCUCUGCACCUAACUUCAUCCAUCUUCUCCUAUUCCAUUGGAGAACUCAACGACCCGAUGGAAUACACUUGGUCUAGUUUGUUGGCUUUCUAUUCAUUAGAAUUUCGUCCCUGAUUUUCUUUCGUCGAUGCCACGAAUCUAUAACAAACCUUUGGUAAGUAUGAUAUUUGGUUUACAUGUGUGUUUCAAUGUUGUUAAGUGUUUCUGUAUUUGCAUAUAGCUUGGACGAAUUCAAUAUGCUAUUUGUACACAAUUAGGACCAAAUCUGUGUGUUCAUGAAUUUGAAGUUCAAAUCCCUAUUUGAAAUUCGGUUGAAGCAACAUGUACGGAUUUGAACCAUUUCUUUAUAGUCGUUCUAGAGCUUAUGUGUGUAUGGGUUUGAAUUGUAAGUUAGAACCCUACUUUUGAACCAUUUUUAAGCAUUUGUGUUCUAGCUGUGUAGUGAAUUUGAAUUUAUUCCAGAAAGUUUGUAGUGGUACCUAUUACAGAGAUGUUCAACAUGCGUCCCUACAAUACUAACUUUACCCCAAUUUCGGCUUCUGUGUACUGAUUGUGUAAUGAGCUUUCAUGUGUUCAAAAAUUGGUUGUCAUUCCAUGCUGUAAAGAAAGCAAUGUAGGUAUAGAGGUCUUCAAAUUUUUUUUUAUUUUUUUUAUUUAUUUUUUAUUGAAAUGAGACUAUGAAGUAGUUAAUUUCACACUCGCUUGCUCGAACAUUUGUAAUAUCAAAUUUGUGAAGCAUAAAUUGAAUUGGUUAUUGCAUCGUAUUGAUAUUCUAUCUUUGUGGUUGAGUGGCAGUUUACAAUGAGAGGAAAAAAUAAUGGAGUAUGUCAUGGUUGUAGACGUAACGAUCACUUCUUUGCGGAUUGCCAAAUAAAUGCCCAUGCCCAUUGUGUAAACACUCAUUUGUGAAGUGUUUUGAGGUGAAGAAGGAUACUAAGAACAAAGGUAAAUGGUUCAAUUGUUGUAGUGCGAACUGCGGAUAUUGAGAGUGGGUUACAGCAGGUGAAAUAGGCAGUGAAUCAAAUUUCGUUGGUAGUACAUCUACUAAGCCUUUGACAAACAAAUCAUGCCCUUGUUUGAGC